GGCUGAAAUUCGCCUUUAUGAAGCCGGAAUUGCUAGUAAUCGCAGGUCAGCAUACUGCGGUGAAUACGUUCCCGGGUCCUUGUACACACCGCCCGUCACACCAUGGGAGCCGGAAAUGCCCGAAGCCAGUGACCCAACCUUAGGGAGGGAGCUGUCGAAGGUGGAGCCGGUAACUGGGGUGAAGUCGUAACAAGGUAUC
Molecule: ribosomal RNA, 199 nt
Filed under: uncultured bacterium
Lineage: Bacteria
Description: partial 16S ribosomal RNA
Rfam family: Bacterial small subunit ribosomal RNA
Source: RNAcentral